RNAcentral lists this ribosomal RNA (394 nucleotides) under uncultured bacterium. Its description in RNAcentral is "partial 16S ribosomal RNA". It matches the Rfam family "Bacterial small subunit ribosomal RNA", at positions 523 to 918 of the family's 1533-position model. The record is from RNAcentral.
AUACGGAGGAUGCAAGCGUUAUCCGGAUUUAUUGGGUUUAAAGGGUGCGUAGGCGGAUGAUUAAGCGUGAGGUGAAAUGCCACUGCUCAACAGUGGAACUGCCUCGCGAACUGGUUGUCUUGAAUGCUCCUGCCGUGGGAGGAAUGUGUGGUGUAGCGGUGAAAUGCAUAGAGAUCACACAGAACACCGAUUGCGAAGGCAUCUCACGAAGGGGUGAUUGACGCUGAGGCACGAAAGCGUGGGGAUCAAACAGGAUUAGAUACCCUGGUAGUCCACGCAGUAAACGAUGGUAACUAACCGCUGGGUCGUAGUGAUUCAGUGGCCAAGCGAAAGCGAUAAGUUAUCCACCUGGGGAGUACGACCGCAAGGUUGAAACUCAAAUGAAUUGACGGGG